Molecule: long non-coding RNA, 582 nt
Organism: Pleuronectes platessa (European plaice)
Lineage: Eukaryota; Metazoa; Chordata; Actinopteri; Pleuronectiformes; Pleuronectidae
Exons: 5
Source: RefSeq, a predicted model, not a curated record
UCUGCCGCAGACAUGAGAGGAUCGUGUUAAGUGUGUUCCGUAUGAGUGACUCUGUUUUCGGGAUAAAUAACUUGCUGAAGUCGACACAACACUGUUUCCCUGGAGGAGAAGAUGAGUGCGUGGGAAAGCAAAGCCGCGGGCCCGGUGUGGAGGAGUCGAGGCGGAGAAGACAGGUGCACAGUCCCUGAAUUAAGGAAGUUUCCGUCUCUUCCCAGCUCUGAUGAAAAUGGCCGGCGGAGCGAGGCCUGAUUCCUGCACACAAUGACACAGUCACUGCACAUUACGCCGAGACUCGCUGAAAGUCCACAUUUGCAGUGCGGGAAAACGACGCCAUUGUACCUGCCUGUACUAUGACGUACUAAGAACCACUAUGAGCCAGUAUGAAGGAACUUCCAGUUCAUCCUUACAGACCUUGCAUCAGCAUUGAGGAGUCGGUAGAGAAGAAAGAGGCUGAUUGAAGCGGGACAGAUGACAUAGAUCCAUCCUUCCUCAGCCAGGAGCUCACCGACCUGUGUGCCACACUUCAAAUAAGACUAGAGGCUACACUGGAUCUCACAGCUACACACCACAGACGUCUACACA